GAUGAACGCUGGCGGCGUGCUUAACACAUGCAAGUCGAACGAAGCACUCUAUUUGAUUUUCUUCGGAAAUGAAGAUUUUGUGACUGAGUGGCGGACGGGUGAGUAACGCGUGGGUAACCUGCCUCAUACAGGGGGAUAACAGUUGGAAACGACUGCUAAUACCGCAUAAGCGCACAGGAUCACAUGAUCUGGUGUGAAAAACUCCGGUGGUAUGAGAUGGACCCGCGUCUGAUUAGCCAGUUGGCAGGGUAACGGCCUACCAAAGCGACGAUCAGUAGCCGACCUGAGAGGGUGACCGGCCACAUUGGGACUGAGACACGGCCCAAACUCCUACGGGAGGCAGCAGUGGGGAAUAUUGCACAAUGGGGGAAACCCUGAUGCAGCGACGCCGCGUGAGCGAAGAAGUAUUUCGGUAUGUAAAGCUCUAUCAGCAGGGAAGAAGAAUGGCGGUACCUGACUAAGAAGCACC
RNAcentral lists this ribosomal RNA (469 nucleotides) under uncultured bacterium. RNAcentral's name for it is "bacterial SSU rRNA". It matches the Rfam family "Bacterial small subunit ribosomal RNA", at positions 28 to 494 of the family's 1533-position model. The record is from RNAcentral.